RNAcentral lists this ribosomal RNA (484 nucleotides) under uncultured bacterium. Its description in RNAcentral is "partial 16S ribosomal RNA". It matches the Rfam family "Bacterial small subunit ribosomal RNA", at positions 28 to 507 of the family's 1533-position model. The record is from RNAcentral.
AUUGAACGCUGGCGGCAUGCUUUACACAUGCAAGUCGAACGGCAGCGCGGGCUUCGGCCUGGCGGCGAGUGGCGAACGGGUGAGUAAUGCAUCGGAACGUGCCCAGUAGUGGGGGAUAGCCCGGCGAAAGCCGGAUUAAUACCGCAUACGACCUGAGGGUGGAAGCGGGGGACCGAAAGGCCUCGCGCUAUUGGAGCGGCCGAUGUCGGAUUAGCUAGUUGGUGGGGUAAAGGCUUACCAAGGCGACGAUCCGUAGCUGGUCUGAGAGGACGACCAGCCACACUGGGACUGAGACACGGCCCAGACUCCUACGGGAGGCAGCAGUGGGGAAUUUUGGACAAUGGGGGCAACCCUGAUCCAGCCAUGCCGCGUGCGGGAAGAAGGCCUUCGGGUUGUAAACCGCUUUUGUUCGGGAAGAAAUCCUCUGGGCUAAUACCCCGGGGGGAUGACGGUACCGGAAGAAUAAGCACCGGCUAACUACGUG